This 2456-nucleotide long non-coding RNA is filed under the name Sus scrofa (pig). Its description in RNAcentral is "lncRNA (ENSSSCG00040003266.1)". Lineage: Eukaryota; Metazoa; Chordata; Mammalia; Artiodactyla; Suidae. The record is from RNAcentral.
GGGAUUAAUAUGAACAAACUUAACCCUUUUUAACUUACCAUCACGUAAUAUUUUCCGCUUACAUGCCACGAGGAUUCUGGGCAGGGCCAGGUGGGGGCAGAGUGGAGGGGUGCAGAGGGAAGGAGGAUGUGAGGGGGGAGGAAUAAUAGAAACCUUUUUACUAUAUUGAUGCGAAAUGAAAAGUAAUUCAGAAAUGCAAUUUAGCGAUGACCUCUCCUCUGGGUGGCUAUGAAAAACAGCCUUGUUUUCUUUUUAUAAAGAAAUGCUGGCAUGCUUGACUUUAGUGAAUCAAGAGAAUUGUUUGGCAAAUAACAGUGAUGGUGUGUGUCCUUGUCAGAACACCUGCUGUAUUCUCCCAGCAAACACUGGGGCCACGGCGUCUCUCCUCUAAUGACACCUCAUCAAUCCGCUCCUAUCAAUGUCCCAGCCAUGGAGGUGACUUCGAGUGCUCAGAAGCCUUAGAAAAUGUCAACGUUUUGGGAGAAAAGUUCCCUGCUCCGAAAUUUCAGUGAUUUUAGCAGCUCUCUUUCUUCUGCCCUGUGAGACUGAUUGCUAUCCAGUUUCAUGAACAGCAGAUUAUAAAUUAUGCCCUGGGAGAAAACCAGGGUAAGUAUGGGGCUUAAUUGGGUCUAUCUCUUCUCUCAAGAAUUGAAGUCAUGUGUUCCUUGCUGCCAGUGUCUGAAAACUGUUUCUGUUUUUAAUUAACUCAUAAUUGCCUGUGGCAAGCUUGUUAUCCUUUUAAUGUCUUCUGGAUCUUUUGUUAAAUUCUUCUUUUCAUUCCUAAUACUAUUUUGUUAUACUUUAUCUCUUUUUCCUUGAUCAUUUACAUCAGAGAAUUAUGUAAAUCUUAUUUGUUUUAAAGAAAUAUGUCUGCCUUUGUUGAUCUUCUUAAUAUUUACUUUAAUUUUUGUUAUUUUCUUCCUUCAACUUUCUUUGAAUUUGUUGUUUCUCCUUAUCUUUCUUGGAUGUAUAUAAUCUUAAUAAUUUUCAGUAUUUUUAUUUUACAAUACACACAUUCAAGAUUAUAAAUAUCCCUCUAGAUAUUGCUUUGGCUACAUCCUUCAGAUUUUUCUAUGUGAUAUUUUAUUCAGUUUAAAAUAUUUUAUAGUCUUUGAUUGUUUGAUCCAUGAAGUAUUUAGAAUUAUAUUUCUUAAUAUACAAAUGCCUGUAAUGUUCUGGUUAUUUCAUUGCUGAUUUCCAACACAAUUACAUUUUGUUAGGAAAAAUAUGCUCCAUGGUUUAAAAUAUUUACAACUUUUUGAGAGUUGCUAGUAUAUAUUAGUAUAUAAUCAAUUUUUAUAAAUUUCUGUCUUCAGAAGAAGAUGUAUUCUCUAGUUUAUAUAUCCAAAGGGUUAAAUUUACUAAUUUUGUUUCUUUAAAUCUUCUUUUUNUUUUUUUUUGGUCUUUUUAAGGCCUCACCUGCAGCAUAUGGAGAUUCCCAGGCUAGGGGUCCAAUCGGAGCUACAGCUGCUGGCCUACACCACGGCCACAGCAACACCUGAUCCAAACUACACCACACUCCAUAGGUCACGGCAAUGCUGGAUCCUUAACACACUGAGUGAGGCCAGAGAUCAAACCUCAUGGUUCCUAGUCAGAUUCAUUUCUGCUGUGCCAUGACAGGAACUCCUCUUUAAAUAUUCUUAUAUCCUAAGUGGUUUUUGCCUGCUGGUUCUAUUGUAUAGUGAGAGAAGUGUUUUCACAAUCCCCUAAUGUGAUUGUUUGCCUUUUUCUCCUGUCAAUUUUUCUUUAUAUAUUUCAAAGCAAUGUUAAGUGCAUAGUAAUUUAAUUUUUUUAAUUUUUAAUUGAAUCUGGCCUUUAUGAUCUAAUCUUCAUGUAUAGAAGUACUUUUUGCCCUAAAGCUUAUAUAUUUAUAUUAACAUAGCUACAUAAGCUUUGACCUUUGCUGCAUUUUACGUACCCUUUUACAGUUUUUCCAUAUUUUUAUGUGUAUUUAAUGUAAAAAAUUAAUAGUAGUCUAUGUAUUUAAUUGUAAAUACAGUUUUAUUUUAUAAUAUUUUAGUUGAAUUAUGCAGUUAUUACUAUUUAUUGAAAUAACUGUUACGGUUUAAUAUUAUGUGAUCUUGAUUUGUCCCUAUGGAUUUAUUAUGUUUUGUUUUCUUUCUCUAUUCUUUAAUUGGACUGACAGUUUCUUACCAUUCUAUUUUUCCCCCCUUUUGGUUUAGAAGAUAUAAAGCCUAACAGUUAACUUGUAAUUACCCUAUCAUUAUAGCAUAUACUCCUUAUUUAUCAAAGUCUCUAAUAUUAACACUUUACCUUUCUCUCCCCAAAUGCAUGGCUUCUAGAAUACUUAAGUUUUGUUCUCCUGCUUCCCAAAUAAUUUAUUAUUGUUGUCUUGUCACUUAGAAAAUACACACACACACACACACACACACACACACAAUCAUUAUUAUCUUUUUAAAAAUAAACUCAAUGCUUGUAAUGUUUAUUUAGGUUUA